Molecule: non-coding RNA, 869 nt
Organism: Pelobates cultripes (western spadefoot toad)
Lineage: Eukaryota; Metazoa; Chordata; Amphibia; Anura; Pelobatidae
Source: the annotation of a GenBank genome assembly
GUAUAUAUUAACCGCCUUAAGGACCGGACUGUUUUGGCCAUGUUGUACGUUAAGGACCAGACCUGUUGUAACACUUUUGUCAUUUACUGUUCCCAUACAAAUUAUAUAUUGUUUUUUUCAGGACAUAUAGGAAUAGAAACAACAAAACAUGGGAAAUGGCUGUAUAAUCUAAAAGAGAACACAAAAACAAAAAUAUAGUGUAUUACUGUUAUAAAUUAUAUUUGUGCGCUGGUGAUCUUUUGCACUCACAAGAUUGAAGAUAUAAACCCAUUCAAAGGGUGCCUCCACCGAUGGUGUUGGGGGGCUGUAAACCCACGCCCUGGUCCGUGUGUGUUCCUUUAAGAACCGAAAUCCAGAGGAUGGUGGUAAAAUGGUGGUAAAAAAAUAUAUAAACGGCUUUAUUUAUAAAAGGUGAAAAUACACCAAUAAAGUAAAAACAGAAUUGGUUCUACGCGUUUCAUCCAAGUACUAUUUGACUUCCUCAGGAACCAAAAGUCAAUAUGUGUAACAGCAGCAUGCAACAAUGACAUACAGCAAUAAAACAGCCUAACACGCCCACCCUCAAGUUCUCUUAAAUAGGGCUAAUACCAUUGGUGGAUCCAUAGGCGUGUGUUCUCCUUUGAAAUUAGGUGAAUUGAUUCACCUGUGUGGGUCCUCAUUCAUAAGUUUCCUCAGUGAGUGAUUAUUCCAAACUGGAAGUGUAGUAACUUCAGCAUUUCCGUGCGUUCCACUUGUGGUUUAUCAUUGGAAUCAAUAUGGUUGUGCAUGCCACUGAUGGUGCUGCGGGCGUGAUAUACGGCCCGUGGUGGUGAUUAAAUGAUAUGUCCUAUCUCUAACACGGAACAUAAUUGACAUCUUAUGACGGUUCU